This 2099-nucleotide long non-coding RNA is filed under the name Gopherus agassizii (Agassiz's desert tortoise). RNAcentral's name for it is "lncRNA (ENSGAGG00000008721.1)". The record is from RNAcentral. Lineage: Eukaryota; Metazoa; Chordata; Testudines; Testudinidae.
CCAGAACCGCACACAGUAUUAAAGGUGUGAGCAUAUAAUGGGUUUAUAUAGUGGCAUUAUGAUAUUUUCUGUCUUAGUUAUCUACCUCUUUCCUAAUUGUUCCUAAUAUUGUUAGCUUUUUUGGACUGCUGCUGCACAUUGACUGGAUGUUUUCAGAGAACUAUCCACAAUGGCUUCAAGAUCUUUUUCUUGAGUGGUAAAAGCUAACUUAGACUCCAUUUUGUAUGUAUAGUUAGAUUUAUGUUUCCCAAUGUACAUUACUUUACAUUUAUCAACACUGAAUUUCAUCUCCCAUUUUCUUGCCCAGUCACCCAGUUUCGUGAGAUCCCUUUGAAACUCUUCGCAGUCUGCUUUGGACUUAACUGUCUCGUCAACUCUCAACUGUGCAGAAUUCUCAUGAGUCAAGGCCAUCUCCCUUGUGGAAACUCCUGCAUCUGUCUGAUGCAGCAAAACCCAGAGAAAUCUCCCCUGCAGGAGAGCCUCAAUGGUUGCCAACCCAUGGUCCAGUAUGUCGCAGUGGUCAGCAGAGGGAGUCUGGAGCCAAAGGGAAACAGAAGUUGGCAGCAGAGCUGCCUCCAGAGUUAAACAGAUGGAGUUACCCUGCAGUGCAGGACAUGGCAGCAGCUGGCCGGCCUCUGGGAAGGCCUGGAGCCAUCCUAUCACUCCCUACUUAUGCAGCAAUUGAGUGGCCUGUGGGAGUCUAAUUCUUCCUCCUCUGCCCAGGGUAGAAUGGGUCACACAGGUUCAACAAUGCCACUUCCAGCUCCAGCCCCACUACCCCAGAUCCAUGCUGUUCCAUAACAUUGAUUCCAAAAAGCUAGAAGGAAAGGACCUCCUCAGAAUCCCCCAUUUGUUUGUAUAUCUCAUUGCAGGUGCAGGAGCAGCUCAGCCUUCAACAAACACUCCUCCAGCUCCUCCAUCCCUGCUCCAUGCAGAGGCAGUUGGGAGAAAUUCAUGGGGCAGGGAAGACCAACAACAAGGUUGGUUUGGGGACCUGCCCCAGUGCAUGUAUUGUGGCCAUGGAGGAAGGUCUCUAGGAAUGGCCCCAGGCCAUACCUGCCUGUGGAGCAGGAUACAGAGCUGGAGGCACCCCAGCACACAAGGCAGUGUGAGUAAGACUCACUAGCUUAGGCACCGACUUCCCCUCUUUCCAGUGAGUGCUUGACUGCCCUUCUGUCCCCAGCCCUGCCCCCACUCCACCUCUUCCAUAAGGCCCCACCCCUUCCCCAAAGUCCCUGCCCCAACUCCCCCCUGCCCAGCUAAUAUUCUAGCUCCUUCCCAAAUCCCCUCCCCAGCCCCGCCUCCUCCCAAGAACACCACGUUCCGGCUUCUCACCCCUCCACCCCCCAGCAUGCUAACACUGCCAAACAGCAAAUGCUGGAAGGUAGGCAGAGGGACAGGGAUGCAGCAUGCUCCGGGGGUGGAGGGGACUUGGCUGCUCCCUGUGGGGGCUCCAGCCCCAGAGCACUCACAGAGUUGGCACCUAUGCUCGCUAGUAACCAUUUAAGAGAAACGAGAUUCCAGAAAACGAACAAUAGGUAACGCAGUCAGCCCAGGCACUAGCCCCAUCACAGCCCUUCUCAGGAUGACACCAGCCCUGAUACCCACCUCUCCCCAGUCUGGUGUCCUGUGCCUGCUAUAACAUUAGCUCUCAUGGGAGUCUCCAGCACCUGCACAACAACCCUACGUGGUCCCAUGGAUUCUGCUAUGGUUACAGUGCCCAGCCCUAUCAGGAGUUCAUGACACUGAGCUGAGGCAGGUGCUCUUGAAGGAGGAACCAGAGGUUCAUAAACUGCCAGGGGAUGGGAGGUUGGAAGGGAAACUGGGUGCAAACCUGGAACAGGAUUUCCAGCAGAGGAAAUUUGAGAAAUCCACUGAAAACUAGUUUGGGCAGAGCUCUGAGAAAUAUCCUGCAGGGAACAACGCUGUAGUGGCUGGGAGGUUGCUGGUUAGAGGUGAGGUGUUGUAAUCUCUCUUCCCUCUCUAGCUAAUCCCUGCAUGGGACAAUACUUGUUUUUAAAGCUAAAAUGGGAUUGAGCAAGGUUUGAGAACAAGCUCCCAAGUGGCUUUAGACAAAAUAAAAAGCAGAGGUCAGCACA